Molecule: ribosomal RNA, 408 nt
Filed under: uncultured bacterium
Lineage: Bacteria
Description: partial 16S ribosomal RNA
Rfam family: Bacterial small subunit ribosomal RNA
Source: RNAcentral
GACGAACGCUGGCGGCGUGAUUAACACAUGCAAGUCGAACGAAGUGGCGAACGGGUGAGUAACGCGUAAUCAACCUGCCCUUCAGAGGGGGACAACAGUUGGAAACGACUGCUAAUACAGCAUACUGAAGGAGGGGAUUGCGUCUGAUUAGCUAGUUGGAGGGGUAACGGCCCACCAAGGCGAUGAUCAGUAGCCGGUCUGAGAGGAGGAACGACCCCAUUGGGACUGAGACACGGCCCAGACGCCUACACUAGACAUCACUGUAAAAUCUUCCGCAAUGGACGAAAGUCUGACGCAGCAACGCCGCGUGAGUGAUGACGGCCUUCGGGUUAUAAACCUCUGUUAAUCGGGACGCGGUACCGGAAUAGAAAGCCACGGCUAACUACGUGCCAGCAGCCGCGGUAAUUC